GGAAGUAAACGUCGUAACAAGGUUUCCGUAGGUGAACCUGCGGAAGGAUCAUUCAUAAUAAGUGUUUUAUGGCGCUUUUUUAAAUCCGUAUCCACCUUGUGUGCAAUGUCAGGGUUGAUUUUUCUCUCGAGAGGAUCAACCCCAAACAUCAACUAUAUCUCAACUCUUUGUCUGAAAAAUAUUAUGAAUAAAACAAUUCAAAAUACAACUUUCAACAACGGAUCUCUUGGCUCUC
Molecule: unclassified non-coding RNA, 235 nt
Filed under: plant metagenome
Description: partial contains small subunit ribosomal RNA, internal transcribed spacer 1, and 5.8S ribosomal RNA
Rfam family: Eukaryotic small subunit ribosomal RNA (bases 1-54)
Source: RNAcentral